This 663-nucleotide ribosomal RNA is filed under the name uncultured Methanocorpusculum sp. RNAcentral's name for it is "bacterial SSU rRNA". It matches the Rfam family "Archaeal small subunit ribosomal RNA", at positions 241 to 908 of the family's 1478-position model. The record is from RNAcentral. Lineage: Archaea; Methanobacteriati; Methanobacteriota; Methanomicrobia; Methanomicrobiales; Methanocorpusculaceae.
GUAACGGCCCACCAAGCCUUUUAUCGGUACGGGUUGUGGGAGCAAGAUCCCGGAGAUGGAUUCUGAGACAUGAAUCCAGGCCCUACGGGGCGCAGCAGGCGCGCAAACUUUACAAUGCGAGCAAUCGUGAUAAGGAAACCCUGAGUGCCUGUCGAUGCAGGCUGUUCAUAUAUCUAAAUCAUAUGUGAAGAAAGGGCAGGGCAAGACCGGUGCCAGCCGCCGCGGUAAUACCGGCUGCUCGAGUGAUGGCCACUAUUACUGGGUUUAAAGCGUCCGUAGCUUGACUGUUAGGUCUCUUGGGAAAUCUUCGCGCUCAACGUGAAGGCGUCUAAGAGAUACCGGCAGUCUUGGAACUGGGAGAGGUAAACCGUACUUCGGGGGUAGGAGUGAAAUCUUGUAAUCCUCGAGGGACGACCUAUGGCGAAGGCAGUUUACCAGAACAGCUUCGACAGUGAGGGACGAAAGCUGGGGGAGCAAACGGGAUUAGAUACCCCGGUAGUCCCAGCCGUAAACAAUGUGCGUUAGGUGUGUCGGUAACCACGUGUUACUGAUGCGCCGAAGAGAAAUCGUGAAACGCACCACCUGGGAAGUACGGUCGCAAGGCUGAAACUUAAAGGAAUUGGCGGGGGAGCACCACAACAGGUGGAGCCUGCGGUUUAAUUG